Molecule: unclassified non-coding RNA, 430 nt
Filed under: soil metagenome
Description: partial contains 5.8S ribosomal RNA, internal transcribed spacer 2, and large subunit ribosomal RNA
Rfam family: 5.8S ribosomal RNA (bases 1-120)
Source: RNAcentral
GAUGAAGAACGUAGCGAAAUGCGAUACGUAAUGUGAAUUGCAGAAUUCAGUGAAUCAUCGAAUCUUUGAACGCAUAUUGCGCUCUCUGGUAUUCCGGAGAGCAUGCUUGUUUGAGUAUCAGUAAACACCUCAACUCCCUUUUCUUUUUUGAAAUUGGAGCUGGACUUGAGUGAUCCCAACGCUUUCUUCCAAGAAAGUGGCGGGUUGCUUGAAAUGCUGGUGCAGCUGAACUUUUCUCUGAGCUAUAAGCAUAUCUAUUUAGUCUGCCUAAAAAACAGAUUAUUACCUUUGCUGCAGCUAACAUAAAGGAGACUAGUUCUUGUGCUGACUGAUGCAGGAUUCACAGAGACAGCUUCGGCUGACUUUGUAAACUCGAUCUCAAAUCAAGUAAGACUACCCGCUGAACUUAAGCAUAUCAAUAAGCGGAGGA